UAGGGAAUCUUCGGCAAUGGACGGAAGUCUGACCGAGCAACGCCGCGUGAGUGAAGAAGGUUUUCGGAUCGUAAAGCUCUGUUGUAAGAGAAGAACGAGUGUGAGAGUGGAAAGUCCACACUGUGACGGUAUCUUACCAGAAAGGGACGGCUAACUACGUGCCAGCAGCCGCGGUAAUACGUAGGUCCCGAGCGUUGUCCGGAUUUAUUGGGCGUAAAGCGAGCGCAGGCGGUUAGAUAAGUCUGAAGUUAAAGGCUGUGGCUUAACCAUAGUACGCGUUGNCAACUGUUUAACUUGAGUGCAAGAGGGGAGAGUGGAAUUCCAUGUGUAGCGGUGAAAUGCGUAGAUAUAUGGAGGAACACCGGUGGCGAAAGCGGCUCUCUGGCUUGUAACUGACGCUGAGGCUCGAAAGCGUGGGGAGCAAACAGGAUUAGAUACCCUGGUAGUCCACGCCGUAACGAUGAGUGCUAGGUGUUAGACCCUUUCCGGGGUUUAGUGCCGCAGCUAACGCAUUAAGCACUCCGCCUGGGGAGUACGACCGCAAGGUU
Molecule: ribosomal RNA, 548 nt
Filed under: uncultured bacterium
Lineage: Bacteria
Description: bacterial SSU rRNA
Rfam family: Bacterial small subunit ribosomal RNA
Source: RNAcentral